GAUGAACGCUGGCGGCGUGCUUAACACAUGCAAGUCGAACGGGAAUUACUUUAUUGAAACUUCGGUCGGUUUGAUUUAAUUCUAGUGGCGGACGGGUGAGUAACGCGUGGGUAUCCUGCCUUAUACAGGGGGAUAACGGUCAGACAUGGCUGCUAAUACCGCAUAAUCGCACAGAUCUGCAUGGCUCGGUGUGAAAAACUCCGGUGGCAUAAGAUGGACCCGCGUUGGAUUAGCUUGUUGGUGGGGUAACGGCCCACCAAGGCGACGAUCCAUAGCCGGCCGGAGAGGGUGAACGGCCACAUUGGGACUGAGACACGGCCCAGACUCCUACGGGAGGCAGCAGUGGGGAAUAUUGCACAAUGGGGGAAACCCUGAUGCAGCGACGCCGCGUGAAGGAAGAAGUAUCUCGGUAUGUAAACUUCUAUCAGCAGGGAAGAUAGUGACGGUACCUGACUAAGAAGCCCCGGCUAACUACGUG
RNAcentral lists this ribosomal RNA (478 nucleotides) under uncultured bacterium. RNAcentral's name for it is "partial 16S ribosomal RNA". It matches the Rfam family "Bacterial small subunit ribosomal RNA", at positions 28 to 507 of the family's 1533-position model. The record is from RNAcentral.